Long non-coding RNA from Tribolium madens (black flour beetle), 772 nucleotides. RefSeq lists it as uncharacterized. NCBI's taxonomy places the organism in Eukaryota, Metazoa, Arthropoda, Insecta, Coleoptera, Tenebrionidae. The transcript has 4 exons. The record is from RefSeq and is a predicted model, not a curated record.
UAUACUGUCACUGUCAACUGUCAAGUUCAGACCAAAUCCAAAUGGAGGUUAAUAAUUUAUUGUUGAAAAAUGUUUAUUUUUGAUAUAAACUGAUUGUUAUCAGUGUACGUUAACAGCGCCAAACGCAUAAAACAUAAAACAGUUUAUGAUGAUUAUAAUCUGAAAUCAACGUUGAGAAAACAGGGCUUUUUGUCGAUUGAGGAAUGUUUGAGCACUUUAGACGAAGAAUAAAAGGAAUUGAAGCAAUACUAAGAAGUUGAAAAAACCAUUAAACUGAAAAAUUCAGUCAUAAUUAUGAACAAAGAAGUCAGUUUGAGUUUCUCCCAUCAAAGGUUAAAAAUAUAGGAAUUAGAUUGAGUGUAAUUAAAGAAGACUGAAAUAUUGGGAGCUUUGAAGACAAACUCGAAUUAACUUUGUGGAAUUGGGAUUGAAGAAAAAAUAUGAUUAUGUAUAGGCAAAGGCAAAACUAAACUAACUACAUACUACUGUUUUCAGCCUAUGCCUCGAAAUUACGUACAAAAGACUAAAUCAAAAUACGAAAUUGAAAAUCUUCGCACGCAAACGAAGAUGUUAAAAGUAAAAAGCUCACAUUGGCCCAAACUGCUACCAAAUACUAAUUAAGUCAUUACCCCAUACCGUUCCCAUUUCCCCCAUAGGGUAUGGGGUAAAUAGGAACGACAAUGUUUUUUAUUUUUGUUUAUAUUUUUAGUGAAACUUAGGUUAUAAAAAAUUUGACAACUAAGAAUAUAAAUAAACAAAGUUUAUGUAGCAA